UGGCUCAAUGGUAGAGCGUUUGACUCAAUUAUCAAAGGUCCUGGGUUCAAAUCCCAG
RNAcentral lists this transfer RNA (57 nucleotides) under Schistocephalus solidus. It matches the Rfam family "tRNA", at positions 8 to 63 of the family's 71-position model. From Rfam's summary of the family: Transfer RNA (tRNA) molecules are approximately 80 nucleotides in length. Their secondary structure includes four short double-helical elements and three loops (D, anti-codon, and T loops). Lineage: Eukaryota; Metazoa; Platyhelminthes; Cestoda; Diphyllobothriidea; Diphyllobothriidae. The record is from Rfam by way of RNAcentral.